UCUUUGUUUGUAUGUGGUGCUGAGGAUCGAACCCGGGCCACAUGCAUGCCAGGCGAGCGCGCUACCGCUUGAAGUCCAACUUCUUUAUGGGAAAGAAAUCUGAAGAAUGUGUCCCUAUCCUGUAGAAAAUUGGCUGUUCCGAGACAACCCUAAGAAGACCUACAGGCAGCAUUGGCAGGCUGGAAACAGAAUUCUAGGAAUCCGAGGAUUGUGGCUGAGGAGAGAAAGGAGGUUGUCUAGGAGCCCAGACCCCUCUGCCAGACCCCGGAGAGUCAUUGAGAAUAGUCUUAGGUGAAGCCUGGAGGCUGCAGCCCAGAUCAGCAAAAUCUACUCUGCCCCCGUGAAGAGCAGGACCCUGGGAUUAUCCAGGGGCCAGGCUGUCCUUCGUGAAGAGUUCAGUGUCUGUCACCUGUGAAGUGGCUUUUCCCCAGAAGUUCUGAAGCACAUGUCAUUAGAACUUUACCCGAUGAGGAAACUGAGGCUGGAGAGGCAUCCGAGGCUGCAUAAAGCCAGGCCUACCGACCCACUGCUGUGUUCUCCCUGAAAAUCAACAAGUGCAGCACUUUAAUGGAGCACUGUCUUCCUCGCAAUGGCAAAAGCAGCACUAGAACCCAUGAAGUUCCCAUCAGGAAGCUCUGCAGUAUGAGUGUUAUGACUGAUCUCAGAUGUUGAAAGAAACCCAACUCCAAGAAUUAGACUUCACUCAACCGAGCAAAGCAUGCAAUACAAGCCUGUGUCUCCACUCACCCUUGAAAGGAUGCGAAGGACAGCCUCCCUGAGGCUCCAGUUCCUGCAGUCUGGGAGCCCAGUGGGAGACUGAGGCCCUAUGCAGUUCUGAAUUGUGGAUCUGUGGGUGGGUGGUCCUGUGAGGGUGUGUGUGUGUGUGU
Marmota flaviventris (yellow-bellied marmot) is the source of this 887-nucleotide long non-coding RNA. RefSeq lists it as uncharacterized. NCBI's taxonomy places the organism in Eukaryota, Metazoa, Chordata, Mammalia, Rodentia, Sciuridae. The record is from RefSeq and is a predicted model, not a curated record.